CUUAACUCUUCAAUGCUGAAUUUCGUAUCUGCACAACAAAUCUACCCUUGGGUGCAAAAACAGAAACCUUGAACCUUGAACCUUUUAUACUAAAAUCAUUGAGUAUGUUAAUUCACCCCCAAGAAUAGUAAUAUAAUCAUAACAAUGCUUCAGACUAAUUAGCUAGGAAAAAAAUAUAUUGGCCAUUUGACGUAACCUGCCGGGAUUUAAAAAAGAAAGUGUAAAGAUUUUAGGAUGUGGCUUCUCCCAACAUGACCUGUUGCUCCUCCCUUCUCUUCUGCUGGUAAGAGGAAGAGUUGCCUGGUGUGAUCUUUGCACGGUGCUUCACUCUCCUCAUCCUGGCUUGAAACAAAGCAGGAGAUGUGUAAUCCCACUUCAAGCGGACUAUUCUAGUGUAAUCUCCUGCUAACUCAGAGUACACAAAAGUCACUUUUGAGUACUCCAUAAAAGAUUAAAACUGUCAAAGUUUGACCAUCUGUCCUCUGCUUCUGUUUGUCUUUCAGACUUUCAGGCUUUGUAUCUAUGUUUGUCUCUUCGUCUGUCAUUGUGUCACCCUGUAUGUGUUCUUGGCUGUUGUCCGUAUAUCAAACUGAAUGUGACUCCUUGAAACUGAAACUAAUGAUCUGUUGAGCAUCUUUAAAUUACAUAAUCACAUUAAGGGAAGUCCCAUGGUAAUAGGGUUAGGACUUAAUGGCAUAUGUGUGCGCACAUGCAUGCACACUUAUGAACGUGUCAGAGAAUGAUUAGGCGUGAUUGUUUCUAUAGAUAUGACACAGGCUUGUGUGUGUGUGUGUGUGUGUGUGUGUGUGUGUAUGUGCAAGUGUGCAUGCGUGUGAGCUUAACUGAAAACUGAAAAACGUUUUUGUUCACAGACAGUGAUUGUGCAGCACCUUUGGGGAAUUCUUCGCUUUCCUUUCAAGCGCUCUCUUUUUAUUUCCUGUCUUUAUUUCAGGCAUGCAGCGCUGGAGCUUCACUAGGACAACAAUGGGUCAUUUCAGCCAAGUAGCCAACAACAAUGAGGUCUGGGAUACCAAUGCGGAUGACCACAGUAUUGCCUGUGGGUUCCUCCAUGGGUGCUCUUGCACUGUGACUCCGCUGUGCACCGGGACAGAAAGCCGGAACACCGACAGGAACAGGAGCGCCGCUGUCCUCUUCCCGGGAGCUGCUGCUGUCAGUGCUGGCCCCCUGGCUGCCGUUUGCUGUGUGUGUGUAAGGGUGUGUGAGUGUGUGUGA
This 1233-nucleotide long non-coding RNA is filed under the name Scophthalmus maximus (turbot). RNAcentral's name for it is "lncRNA (ENSSMAG00000023564.1)". The record is from RNAcentral. Lineage: Eukaryota; Metazoa; Chordata; Actinopteri; Pleuronectiformes; Scophthalmidae.